RNAcentral lists this ribosomal RNA (524 nucleotides) under Streptomyces griseus. RNAcentral describes it as "bacterial SSU rRNA". It matches the Rfam family "Bacterial small subunit ribosomal RNA", at positions 910 to 1429 of the family's 1533-position model. The record is from RNAcentral. Lineage: Bacteria; Bacillati; Actinomycetota; Actinomycetes; Kitasatosporales; Streptomycetaceae.
UUGACGGGGGCCCGCACAAGCGGCGGAGCAUGUGGCUUAAUUCGACGCAACGCGAAGAACCUUACCAAGGCUUGACAUAUACCGGAAAGCAUCAGAGAUGGUGCCCCCCUUGUGGUCGGUAUACAGGUGGUGCAUGGCUGUCGUCAGCUCGUGUCGUGAGAUGUUGGGUUAAGUCCCGCAACGAGCGCAACCCUUGUUCUGUGUUGCCAGCAUGCCUUCGGGGUGAUGGGGACUCACAGGAGACUGCCGGGGUCAACUCGGAGGAAGGUGGGGACGACGUCAAGUCAUCAUGCCCCUUAUGUCUUGGGCUGCACACGUGCUACAAUGGCCGGUACAAUGAGCUGCGAUGCGCGAGGCGGAGCGAAUCUCAAAAAGCCGGUCUCAGUUCGGAUUGGGGUCUGCAACUCGACCCCAUGAAGUCGGAGUUGCUAGUAAUCGCAGAUCAGCAUUGCUGCGGUGAAUACGUUCCCGGGCCUUGUACACACCGCCCGUCACGUCACGAAAGUCGGUAACACCCGAAGCCG